RNAcentral lists this non-coding RNA (24 nucleotides) under Arabidopsis thaliana (thale cress). Lineage: Eukaryota; Viridiplantae; Streptophyta; Magnoliopsida; Brassicales; Brassicaceae. The record is from RNAcentral.
AGCUGAGACUGUCUCAACUCAGGG